Long non-coding RNA from Oncorhynchus mykiss (rainbow trout), 1002 nucleotides. The record is from Ensembl. Lineage: Eukaryota; Metazoa; Chordata; Actinopteri; Salmoniformes; Salmonidae.
AUGCACAAGCUAGGCCUAUUUGAAACAUCACAAUCUCCUGGCAGCAUUUACCUGACAGUGUCAUGCCUGUUCCCGCUCCUCCUCGCUAGUGCUCGACCUGACAGUGUCACGCACACCUGUCACCAUCAUUACGCGCAUCAGCGCUCGCUGGACUCACCUGGACUUCACCUGGACUUUUUGUUUUCCCCUGUCCAGACACUGUCCGUAUUCUGUUCCUGUCCGUGUUUCAUUAAAUGUUCCCUCCCUGUAAUUGCUUCUUGUCUCCAGCGUCAUUCCUUUUACACAUUUUUGAAGCAUCAGGGAGGGUUUUGUUUUUUGUUGAAGACGUCAGGCCCGGGUGCCGCUGCCGUAGGAACCCGGGGGUGCCUCAGCUGGCUCAUCGGGCUUCCAAGCCUUUGCCGACUCGAGAGGUUUCAUUGCCUCGGUUGGCUCGGCAAGCGCCCAUCCCACGUCAUGCCUCAGCCGGAUCGUCGGGCUCCACGCCUCAGCCGGCUCAUCAGGCUCCCAAACCUCAGCGGGAUUGUCAGGCUUUCACGCCUCUGCCGGGUCGUCGGGCUCCACGCCUCAGCCGGCUCAUCAGGCUCCCACGCCUCAGCGGGAUUGUCAGGCUUUCACGCCUCUGUCGGAUCGUCAGGCUCUACGCCUCAGCUGGCUCAUCAGGCUCCCACGCCUCAGCGGGAUUGUCAGGCUUUCACGCCUCUGCCGGAUCGUCGGGCUCCCACGCCUCCGCCGGCUCGCCGGGCUUCUACGCCUCAGCCGGCUUGUCCACCGCCCACAUCUCGGCCGGCCCGUCAGGCUCACCCACGUGGGACGCCGGGUUGCGCCCCUAGGGGGAAGGGGGGGGCCUCUUCCCGCUCUUCCUCUCUGGCGCUACAGGGCGCCAGGCUGCCCAUCAUUACCCACACCUGUCACCAUCAUUAUGCACAUCAGCGCUCGCUGGACUCACCUGGACUCCAUUACAUUUUUGAUUGCCCCUCUUAUAUCUGUUUGUUCCUCUGUUAG